UGUUGCGAAAAAGAACAGUUGAAAAACACAUGGUCAAUAUCUUCCUCUUCUCUGAAACAAAAAGCACAACACAACUCACGCGGAUUAACAAUAACACCUUUUUUCGCCAACGUCAUACGAGUUGGUAGUCUAGAUAAUAAUAAUCUCCAUCCAAAUAUACACACUUUAGAUGGCAUGUCAUUUGUCCAUAAUUGAUUCAAGGCUUCCACCACGUUCUC
This 218-nucleotide long non-coding RNA is filed under the name Trifolium pratense (red clover). RNAcentral describes it as "long non-coding RNA (TPRA_LNC010404)". Lineage: Eukaryota; Viridiplantae; Streptophyta; Magnoliopsida; Fabales; Fabaceae. The record is from RNAcentral.